RNAcentral lists this ribosomal RNA (465 nucleotides) under Vreelandella stevensii. RNAcentral describes it as "partial 16S ribosomal RNA". It matches the Rfam family "Bacterial small subunit ribosomal RNA", at positions 338 to 795 of the family's 1533-position model. The record is from RNAcentral. Lineage: Bacteria; Pseudomonadati; Pseudomonadota; Gammaproteobacteria; Oceanospirillales; Halomonadaceae.
CCUACGGGUGGCUGCAGUGGGGAAUAUUGGACAAUGGGCGAAAACCUGAUCCAGCCAUGCCGCGUGUGUGAAGAAGGCCUUCGGGUUGUAAAGCACUUUCAGUGGGGAAGAAAGCCUUGGGGCUAAUACCCUCGAGGAAGGACAUCACCCACAGAAGAAGCACCGGCUAACUCCGUGCCAGCAGCCGCGGUAAUACGGAGGGUGCGAGCGUUAAUCGGAAUUACUGGGCGUAAAGCGCGCGUAGGCGGUCUGAUAAGCCGGUUGUGAAAGCCCCGGGCUCAACCUGGGAACGGCAUCCGGAACUGUCAGGCUAGAGUGCAGGAGAGGAAGGUAGAAUUCCCGGUGUAGCGGUGAAAUGCGUAGAGAUCGGGAGGAAUACCAGUGGCGAAGGCGGCCUUCUGGACUGACACUGACGCUGAGGUGCGAAAGCGUGGGUAGCAAACAGGAUUAGAUACCCGAGUAGUC